AGUGAGACUGACUGCGUCGGGGUUGAGACUGGGUGGAUGAGGCUCACCCCGGCGGGGAGAAGGGACGAGGAGGGGCGGACAGCGGAAGGUCCGGGAGUGUCCGCCACUGAGUCAUUGAAAGCAGCCAGAUACAGACACAUUCCAGGCAGUGGAGAAAGAGGAGAAAAAUGCCCCCUAACUUCUCAUCAGAAAAACAAAGGCCUAAUGAAAAUGGAAAAUUGUCUUUAAAGAGCUGAAGGGGGAAAAAAAACCGUCAUGCUAAAUAUGCUUCACAUAUGAGGAUGAAUUCAAGUUUUAACUUCUAGUCAUGGUGAAUGAUCCCAGGAGAGCACAGACUGGACCCUGCUACGAUCUCUCUUGGAGUGGAUCAGACUGAUGAUCACCAACAACCAACUCAUUCCCGGAUAAGGAAGAAGAGAGUGUCACCUACUUCAGUGUGGUUUCAACCCUACUUCUG
This 457-nucleotide long non-coding RNA is filed under the name Pan troglodytes (chimpanzee). Its description in RNAcentral is "lincRNA". The record is from RNAcentral. Lineage: Eukaryota; Metazoa; Chordata; Mammalia; Primates; Hominidae.